UACGUAGGGUGCGAGCGUUGUCCGGAAUUACUGGGCGUAAAGAGCUCGUAGGUGGUUUGUCGCGUUGUUCGUGAAAUCUCACGGCUUAACUGUGAGCGUGCGGGCGAUACGGGCAGACUGGAGUACUGCAGGGGAGACUGGAAUUCCUGGUGUAGCGGUGGAAUGCGCAGAUAUCAGGAGGAACACCGGUGGCGAAGGCGGGUCUCUGGGCAGUAACUGACGCUGAGGCGCGAAAGCGUGGGGAGCAAACAGG
RNAcentral lists this ribosomal RNA (253 nucleotides) under uncultured bacterium. RNAcentral describes it as "partial 16S ribosomal RNA". It matches the Rfam family "Bacterial small subunit ribosomal RNA", at positions 524 to 776 of the family's 1533-position model. The record is from RNAcentral.